AUUGAACGCUGGCGGCAUGCCUUACACAUGCAAGUCGAACGGCAGCGGACCUUCGGGUGCCGGCGAGUGGCGAACGGGUGAGUAAUAUAUCGGAACGUACCUUUCAGUGGGGAGUAACGUAGCGAAAGUUACGCUAAUACCGCAUAUUCUGUGAGCAGGAAAGCAGGGGAUCGCAAGACCUUGCGCUGAUUGAGCGGCCGAUAUCAGAUUAGCUAGUUGGUGAGGUAAAGGACUCACCAAGGCGACGAUCUGUAGCGGGUCGUGAGAGGAUGAUCCGCCACACUGGAACUGAGACACGGUCCAGACUCCUACGGGAGGCAGCAGUGGGGAAGUUUUUGGUACGAAAUGGGCGGCAAGACCUCGAUCCACGCCACUG
This 376-nucleotide ribosomal RNA is filed under the name uncultured bacterium. RNAcentral describes it as "bacterial SSU rRNA". It matches the Rfam family "Bacterial small subunit ribosomal RNA", at positions 30 to 396 of the family's 1533-position model. The record is from RNAcentral.